Podarcis lilfordi (Lilford's wall lizard) is the source of this 75-nucleotide non-coding RNA. Lineage: Eukaryota; Metazoa; Chordata; Lepidosauria; Squamata; Lacertidae. The record is from the annotation of a GenBank genome assembly.
ACCUGGGACAGCUCAGCUGGUAGAGCAGGAGACACUUAAAUCUCAGGGUCAUGGGUUUGAGCCCCGUGUUGGGCA